This 239-nucleotide ribosomal RNA is filed under the name uncultured bacterium. RNAcentral's name for it is "partial 16S ribosomal RNA". It matches the Rfam family "Bacterial small subunit ribosomal RNA", at positions 15 to 244 of the family's 1533-position model. The record is from RNAcentral.
GAUCCUGCUCAGGAUGAACGCUAGCUACAGGCUUAACACAUGCAAGUCGAGGGGCAGCAUGGACUCAGCUUCACUGGGUUUGAUGGCGACCGGCGCACGGGUGAGUAACGCGUAUCCAACCUGCCCUUUACUCCGGGAUAGUCUCCUGAAAGGGAGUUUAAUACCGGAUGUGUUUGUCUUUCCGCAUGGGAGCGACAAAUAAAGAUUGAUUGGUAAAGGAUGGGGAUGCGUCCCAUUAG